AGCGUUGUUCGGAAUUACUGGGCGUAAAGGGUGUGUAGGCGGUUCUUUAAGUUUGGUGUGAAAUCUCUCGGCUCAACUGGGAGGGUGCGCCGAAUACUGAGGGACUUGAGUAUGGGAGAGGAAGGUGGAAUUCCUGGUGUAGCGGUGAAAUGCGUAGAUAUCAGGAGGAACACCAGUGGUGUAGACGGCUUUCUGGACCAUUUCUGACGCUGAGACACGAAAGCUUGGGUAGCAAACAGGAUUAGAUACCCUGGUAGUCCACGCCCUAAACGAUGCAUAUUUGGUGUGGG
This 290-nucleotide ribosomal RNA is filed under the name uncultured Acidobacteriota bacterium. RNAcentral's name for it is "uncultured Acidobacteria bacterium partial 16S ribosomal RNA". It matches the Rfam family "Bacterial small subunit ribosomal RNA", at positions 537 to 826 of the family's 1533-position model. Lineage: Bacteria; Pseudomonadati; Acidobacteriota. The record is from RNAcentral.